UCUUUCCCUAAGCAACGAUACAGUUGGGCGGCAAUACAUAGGAAAGAAGCGAUCUUUUUUUCUGCGAGUAGGAAAGAAGCGAUCUCGCCGUGUUGUCAGGUCCUCUGUUACGACCGUCGGUCUUCGGCGCAUCUGCCAGUUGUAGUUCCGUUCCCGGUGUAGACUGCGAUGGUGCCCUGUAGCAUCGUCGACAGCGGCUUACGUCUCCUCUCUCUAUUCCGGCGAAGCUAUCUCCAGCGUUGGUUGGGAACUGGUGGAGGUGGGUGGAGACGCCGUCCAGGUAUUUCAACCAACGAUCCCCACGCCUCUGCUACUCAUCCUUCUACCUUCAGAUUUUCCAUUUUUGAUUCCAGUCAUAUUCGUGUAGUUCGAUUUGAUAGAAGUUGAGGUAUACUGAUUUGAUUUGGUUACGUUAGCAGGGAGCCAUGGCCCAUGGGUGGGAUUGGGUAAGGGUAUGCUGAUUCACGAUCAACGCAGAUCAAUCCGUCCGUGGUAGAUUUGAUAGUUGUAGCACGUCCGUGGCAUCGAGCAGCAGCUACCCCAGUGCAGAUCGAUAUCUGAACCGCCAUCACAGGCAACCAGAAGAUUUACUUUUGUCCGGUACAACCUGAAUCGACGAUUGAGGAGACAAUUCUACAUAAAGGAUCAAGAAACAUUGAUUUGUAAUUCAUUGGGGAAAAUAGGAAUCAGGAAUAAAAAGGUUGUUAUGCUAAGAUGAUUCUUGCUAAUAGUUUGAGAAAGAUACGCACUUCUUGCUGACGUUUGUUUGCAUCUAGCACCUUUCUUCGUAAUAUGAAGCAUGCUUCUAUAUGUACUUAAGUGACAUGGUGAUAAGAGGGACGACGAGAAUCAUUUCCUUCCAAGAUUUUAGCGAGUGUGCUCAUACGAAAAAUAAACCGUACUUUUCCCAAUCAUGUUUUUUUACGGGGUUUUUCCCAAACAUGUUGACUACUGUAUUGCUAACAUUUGAACCCUUCUUUGUGUUACUAGGAUGUGUUAAAUUAAUCGUAGUUUAUA
Triticum urartu is the source of this 1017-nucleotide long non-coding RNA. RefSeq lists it as uncharacterized. The record is from RefSeq and is a predicted model, not a curated record. Lineage: Eukaryota; Viridiplantae; Streptophyta; Magnoliopsida; Poales; Poaceae.